UCCAGACUCCUACGGGAGGCAGCAGUGGGGAAUAUUGCACAAUGGGGGAAACCCUGAUGCAGCGACGCCGCGUGAGCGAUGAAGUAUUUCGGUAUGUAAAGCUCUAUCAGCAGGGAAGAAGAUGACGGUACCUGACUAGGAAGCCCCGGCUAACUACGUGCCAGCAGCCGCGGUAAUACGUAGGGGGCAAGCGUUAUCCGGAUUUACUGGGUGUAAAGGGAGCGUAGACGGCGAUGCAAGCCAGAUGUGAAAGCCCGGGGCUCAACCCCGGGACUGCAUUUGGAACUGUGUGGCUGGAGUGCAGGAGGGGCAGGCGGAAUUCCUGGUGUAGCGGUGAAAUGCGUAGAUAUCAGGAGGAACACCGGUGGCGAAGGCGGCCUGCUGGACUGCAACUGACGUUGAGGCCCGAAAGCGUGGGGAGCAAACAGGAUUAGAUACCCGAGUACA
Molecule: ribosomal RNA, 447 nt
Filed under: uncultured bacterium
Lineage: Bacteria
Description: bacterial SSU rRNA
Rfam family: Bacterial small subunit ribosomal RNA
Source: RNAcentral